This 471-nucleotide ribosomal RNA is filed under the name Enterobacter cancerogenus. RNAcentral's name for it is "bacterial SSU rRNA". It matches the Rfam family "Bacterial small subunit ribosomal RNA", at positions 30 to 489 of the family's 1533-position model. Lineage: Bacteria; Pseudomonadati; Pseudomonadota; Gammaproteobacteria; Enterobacterales; Enterobacteriaceae. The record is from RNAcentral.
AUUGAACGCUGGCGGCAGGCCUAACACAUGCAAGUCGAACGGUAGCACAGAGGAGCUUGCUCCUUGGGUGACGAGUGGCGGACGGGUGAGUAAUGUCUGGGAAACUGCCUGAUGGCGGGGGAUAACUACUGGAAACGGUAGCUAAUACCGCAUAACGUCGCAAGACCAAAGAGGGGGACCUUCGGGCCUCUUGCCAUCAGAUGUGCCCAGAUGGGAUUAGCUAGUAGGUGGGGUAAUGGCUCACCUAGGCGACGAUCCCUAGCUGGUCUGAGAGGAUGACCAGCCACACUGGAACUGAGACACGGUCCAGACUCCUACGGGAGGCAGCAGUGGGGAAUAUUGCACAAUGGGCGCAAGCCUGAUGCAGCCAUGCCGCGUGUAUGAAGAAGGCCUUCGGGUUGUAAAGUACUUUCAGCGGGGAGGAAGGCGAUAAGGUUAAUAACCUUGUCGAUUGACGUACCCGCAGAAGAG